This is a non-coding RNA of Phrynosoma platyrhinos (Desert horned lizard), 73 nucleotides long. Lineage: Eukaryota; Metazoa; Chordata; Lepidosauria; Squamata; Phrynosomatidae. The record is from the annotation of a GenBank genome assembly.
GCCAGUGUGGUAUAGUGGUUUAAGUGUUAAGACUACAACUCUGAAGACCAGGGUUCAAAUCCCUGCUCAGCCC